This 761-nucleotide ribosomal RNA is filed under the name uncultured bacterium. RNAcentral describes it as "bacterial SSU rRNA". It matches the Rfam family "Bacterial small subunit ribosomal RNA", at positions 28 to 776 of the family's 1533-position model. The record is from RNAcentral.
GAUGAACGCUAGCGAUAGGGCUUAACACAUGCAAGUCGAGGGGCAGCAUAAUUUUAGCUUGCUAAGAUUGAUGGCGACCGGCGCACGGGUGCGUAACGCGUUUGCAACCUGCCUGUAAUUAGGGGAUAGCUCGGUGAAAGUCGAAUUAAUACCCUAUAUUCUAUUUAUUUCGCAUGAUUUGAAUAGGAAAGAUUUAUUGAUUACAGAUGGGCAUGCGUUCCAUUAGCUAGUUGGUAAGGUAACGGCUUACCAAGGCGACGAUGGAUAGGGGGACUGAGAGGUUGACCCCCCACACUGAUACUGAGAUACGGACCAGACUCCUACGGGAGGCAGCAGUGAGGAAUAUUGGUCAAUGGGCGAAAGCCUGAACCAGCCAAAUCGCGUGAAGGACGACGGUCCUAUGGAUUGUAAACUUCUUUUGUAGAGGAAUAAUGGCAGUUACGUGUAACUGAGGUGCAUGUACUCUACGAAUAAGUAUCGGCUAACUCCGUGCCAGCAGCCGCGGUAAUACGGAGGAUACGAGCGUUAUCCGGAUUUAUUGGGUUUAAAGGGUGUGUAGGUGGUUUUUUAAGUCAGUGGUGAAAAGCUGUAGCUCAACUAUAGUCUUGCCAUUGAAACUGGAGAACUAGAGAGAAGACGAGGUAUGCGGAAUGUGUAGUGUAGCGGUGAAAUGCUUAGAUAUUACACAGAACGCCAAUUGCGAAGGCAGCGUACCAGGCUUUAUCUGACACUAAAGCACGAAAGCGUGGGUAUCAAACAGG